UAACCGUGGGCUAGAGUGAUGGGGUUGGGGUUUUCAGCCCGCAGUCCAGGAACCCGGUGUGCGGAUCUUUUCCUGGGUCCCGACCCCAAACUGGGAAGCGAUUUUUUUUACAUGCGAUGUCCCUAACCGGGCUGGGAGCUAAGCUCGAUGCUCAAUUAGUGAUGCUGAACUGCGGCCCGGAGACGAGGAGGAAUCUCAUGAGCAGACAGUGGUCAUGAUUGGGCUUGCCAUUGCCUUGCAGAAUGGAGCGCAGGGCCAGCAGCCUCAUGGGCCAAACAAGGGUCUAAAAAGGAUGCAGCUUUGAACAUUUGGAAGCCUUAACUCCAGCCCGAAGGCAUCAGAGGGACAGGGCAUGCACAAAGCUGGAGUAUGAGUCUCAUUUGAUUAUGAUCGCCAAGCUGCCAGUGCUACUCGUGCUUUCUAUUGGCAGAACAUCAAUGACUUGCCGGGAGGCCAGAUCAAUUUAUGUGAUCAGGUCCCAUUUAAGUGUAGGAUGCAAAACACUGCACUAAUCGCGCAGCUUACAAGCAGCUCAACAUCUGGGAAGGCAGGAAAUCCAUGCAUUCACAUGGGCCUGCAACCUUAAUCGAUCCACUCUUUUAUUUCCUUUAUCAAUGCAUUCCAUUUUAAAAGGGGAGGACUGGAAAAAUUGAGGGGAUGAAUGGUUCAACUUACUUCAGCAUUGGAGACAUUUAAGGAGGACAACCUGAUUAAGCAGUUGAAGUUAAGAAAGUUUUAAGGCUCAAAGCUCCUAAACAAUCCAGGGAAAUGGAAUAUAGGACUCGGUUCCACUUUCCCUCAUUUAUAAUCCCUUUAAGCAUCUCAAGAAGUGAGCAUCUCCUGAUCUAUGCAGCCUAUAAUUUGUCAGCAGGCUCAGGAAAUAAUUACGGUAAUACUCACACAAGGAUCAUAACUGUGUUCAGAAUCAGUCCCUGUUUGAACAUAUUCAUCAGGCCAAUUAGUUGUUUCCAGCAGGACAUUGGUUCUUAAGUCCAGAAGUAUAACUUGGUGGGGACAAUGCAAGAAUUGUAUAUCCUUCAGAUUUUAUGUCAUUGGGUACAUGUUUCUCUCCCUGUGUAAUAAACCUGCAUUUGCCUUUUAUGUCGCUCCAUUUUUUUAAUGAGUGACUGUAUCUUUUACCUGAUCAUACAAACACACAAAUUAGCUGCAGGUGUAUGCCUCUAGAUUCCUUGAGCCUGCCCCGUCAUUCAAUAAGAUCAUAGCUGAUCUGAUUUCUCCACAUUCCCAUCUACCCAUAACCUUUCACUCCCUUACUCAUCAAGAAUCGACCUCUGCUGUAAAAAUAUUCAAAGAUUCUGCUUCCACUGAGUUUUCAUGCAUAGAGUUCCAAAGUCUCACAACCCUCUGAGAGAAAAAAAUUCCCCUCAUUUCUGUCUUAAAUGGGUGACCUCUUAGUCUUAAAUAGUGACCCCUGGUUCUAGGUUCUUCCAUAAGAAGAAACAUCCUCUCCACAUCCACCCUGUCAAGACCCCUCAGGAUCUUAUAUGUUUCAAUCAAGUUACCUUUUACUCUAAUAAACUCCAGCGGAUACAAGCCUAGUCUGUCCAAUCUUCCAUCAAAAGACAACCCGCCCGUUCUAGGUAUUAGGCUAGUAAACCUUCUCUGAACAGAUUCCAAUGCAUUUACAUUCUUCCUUAAAUAAGGAGACCAAUAAUGUACACAGGACUCCAGAUGUGGUCACAUCAAUGCCCUUUAUAACUGAAUCAUAAUACCUUUGUAUUAAAUUCCCCUUGCAAUAAACAAUAACAUUCUA
Long non-coding RNA from Carcharodon carcharias (great white shark), 1774 nucleotides. RefSeq lists it as uncharacterized. The record is from RefSeq and is a predicted model, not a curated record. NCBI's taxonomy places the organism in Eukaryota, Metazoa, Chordata, Chondrichthyes, Lamniformes, Lamnidae. The transcript has 2 exons.